UACGAAGGGGGCUAGCGUUGUUCGGAAUUACUGGGCGUAAAGGGCUCGUAGGCGGCCAACUAAGUCAGACGUGAAAUCCCUCGGCUUAACCGGGGAACUGCGUCUGAUACUGGAUGGCUUGAGUUCGGGAGAGGGAUGCGGAAUUCCAGGUGUAGCGGUGAAAUGCGUAGAGAUCCGGAGGAACACCAGUGGCGAAGGCGACACGCUGGGCCGUACCUGACACUGAUGCGCGACAGCAUGGGGAGCAAACAGG
Molecule: ribosomal RNA, 253 nt
Filed under: uncultured bacterium
Lineage: Bacteria
Description: partial 16S ribosomal RNA
Rfam family: Bacterial small subunit ribosomal RNA
Source: RNAcentral